ACAUUCUUGAAUAAACUGUGAUAACACUGCAGAAGCUAGUAGUUGGCCUUAGUAUUUGUAAGACAGCUCGUGGCGUAAACGCAAGAGGAAGAACAUCUGUACCAGUGGGGGAGCGAUUGAGAUGAUCCUGAAACCCAGAGCCCUUUGUUCUAAGACUCGGUACAACAAUA
Small nucleolar RNA from Echinops telfairi (small Madagascar hedgehog), 170 nucleotides. NCBI's taxonomy places the organism in Eukaryota, Metazoa, Chordata, Mammalia, Afrosoricida, Tenrecidae. The record is from Ensembl.